GACGAACGCUGGCGGCGUGCUUAACACAUGCAAGUCGAACGGGAUUUAGUAAACGGAGGCCUCGGUGGGAGAUUACUAAUGAGAGUGGCGAACGGGUGAGUAACGCGUGAGCAACCUGCCUAUGACAGUGGGAUAGCCUCGGGAAACCGGGAUUAAUACCGCAUCAAAUCGUAGAAACACAUGUUUCAACGGUCAAAGAUGGAUCGGUCAUAGAUGGGCUCGCGUCUGAUUAGCUAGUUGGUGAGAGAACAGCCCACCAAGGCGCCGAACAGGAGCCGGUCGGAGAGGAGGAACCGCCGCAUUGGAACUGAGACACGGUCCAAACUCGUACGGGAGGCAGCAGUGGGGAAUAUUGCACAAGGGAGCAAAACCUGAUGCAGCGACGCGGGGUGAACGAAGAAGGUAUUCGUAUCGUAAUGUUCUGUCCUAUGGGAAGAUAAUGACAGUACCAGAGAAGAAAGCACCGGCUAAAUACGUG
This 478-nucleotide ribosomal RNA is filed under the name uncultured bacterium. Its description in RNAcentral is "partial 16S ribosomal RNA". It matches the Rfam family "Bacterial small subunit ribosomal RNA", at positions 28 to 507 of the family's 1533-position model. The record is from RNAcentral.